Long non-coding RNA from Vicia villosa (hairy vetch), 722 nucleotides. RefSeq lists it as uncharacterized. The record is from RefSeq and is a predicted model, not a curated record. The transcript is spliced from 3 exons. NCBI's taxonomy places the organism in Eukaryota, Viridiplantae, Streptophyta, Magnoliopsida, Fabales, Fabaceae.
UUAGCAUUCACAACUCAAAGUAGAAUCUCAUAUAUAAGAAUGAGGGAAGAAAAAAAAAACUUUGUAACUGAAAUGCUAGAAAUGCGGGUGAUAUAACCAACUCAACCUAACUAUCAAACUUAUGUGGGUGAAGUUUCUCUCUGGGUUCUCUUUUUCAUCCUUCUCCAACCAGAAACUUCGUUAGGGUUUCGCCGUGAUUUCUUCAUUCUCAUCGACCUCUUCUUCUCUUCUCUCUGCAACUCACGCUCUCGUUCUGCGCCGCACUCGAUUUGCAGCACUCGCAGCUCUAGCUUCUCGUCGUAUCCUUUGUGAUAAUAAUGGCAUAUAUAAAACCCUCCAUAGUUAUUUCUUCAUUUGCAGUUUUGGCCUUUUUCAUGCUGUGCAUCUCAUAUGAUGUCCUUACAACUAUCCCUUAUCUGGUUGCGUACAUCAAUGCUGCGAUGUCUUUUGUGUCUUUUAUUCCGAUCUUCGGUUAUAAUAACGACGAUUUCCUGACUAACUAUUUUAUGAAAAGAGGUCUGUUUCACCUUUUCCUGUCCGUAGUCUUCAUGUUCUAUGGCUACUUUAUGUAAGGCUUCCAGGUUUUCCAUUAGAAAGGAGAAGUGCAUUAUAUAGAUAUUGGCCUGUUUUAGGAACACUGCUUCUAUAACUACUAAAAGUUAAUGUGACAAAUGUUGCCUGUCUUUCUAUUCACAUCUUCUAUAUCACAACUAUUAUUAUUA